This 468-nucleotide ribosomal RNA is filed under the name uncultured bacterium. RNAcentral describes it as "partial 16S ribosomal RNA". It matches the Rfam family "Bacterial small subunit ribosomal RNA", at positions 28 to 507 of the family's 1533-position model. The record is from RNAcentral.
GACGAACGCUGGCGGCGUGCUUAACACAUGCAAGUCGAACGGAAAGGCCCUGCUUUUGUGGGGUGCUCGAGUGGCGAACGGGUGAGUAACACGUGAGUAACCUGCCCUUGACUUUGGGAUAACUUCAGGAAACUGGGGCUAAUACCGGAUAGGAGCUCCUGCUGCAUGGUGGGGGUUGGAAAGUUUCGGCGGUUGGGGAUGGACUCGCGGCUUAUCAGCUUGUUGGUGGGGUAGUGGCUUACCAAGGCUUUGACGGGUAGCCGGCCUGAGAGGGUGACCGGCCACAUUGGGACUGAGAUACGGCCCAGACUCCUACGGGAGGCAGCAGUGGGGAAUAUUGCACAAUGGGAGGAAGCCUGAUGCAGCAACGCCGCGCGCGGGAUGACGGCCUUCGGGUUGUAAACCGCUUUCGCCUGUGACGAAGCGUGAGUGACGGUAAUGGGUAAAGAAGCACCGGCUAACUACGUG